GAACGCACGCGCAGGCGCGGCACAUGAUUAAAAGCUAGCGUGCGCUCACAGAUUUGAAUGACUCUUCGGGUGUAUCGUUCGUGACCCGCCAUAAUCCCAGGAUUUAUCGCGAAUCAAAGGUUGGAGGAAGUUUUUGGGGAAAAUGGCGGACGGUCGAAGCGGAGCGGUCCAUAAAAAAGCUCUUCAAAUGUCCAGAGUCAGAGGAGAGUGAGAAGGUGAGAGGAGACGUGACAGAGGAUCUCCACCCUUGAUUAGACACCAGGACAGAUCCAGGACAGUGUGUGAGGAGGAGAAAAAGGAGCCAGCAUCAGCUGAGAGAUAUAGAGGAGAACAGGGGGACAACAGAUAGCUCUCUGUAGUUGAGGGACUGGUAAAAACAUUGAAAACAGUUUUUAGAUACUUUUGCAAAUACAGGACACCCAUAUCUCCAACACAAACUGUAACAGCUGCAUACAGGGAGCCACUCACUGAUGUUUAUCCUGCAGGACAGGAUCUGACAGGGAAAGAAGGAAAAAUAAGGGAACCAUGGACAAGUUUGAUAAUGCUUUGAUUUAUCCACAAUAUAUUCAGCUCAAAUAUUGUUUUCAUCACAGUGGCAUUGUGCUGGUUUCAGUGGGAAAAGUGUGCAGCUCUUUAAAUACAAAGUUCGAAGAGCUGUGAAAAGUUGUCCAUUCAUAAAGUGUGUCAGUAUUUUAUAAGGAUGUCAUAUUUCUGUAUUAUCUCUCUCCUGUUAGAGCCUCUUACCCAGACAUCAGCCUGUUUAAUGCUCUCAUAUCUUCAACAUCUUAAGUAAAUUAUACUGCACAGUUUUCUCUCCAAUAAAAGAAUAUUUACUGCA
This is a long non-coding RNA of Oreochromis aureus, 838 nucleotides long. RefSeq lists it as uncharacterized. NCBI's taxonomy places the organism in Eukaryota, Metazoa, Chordata, Actinopteri, Cichliformes, Cichlidae. The transcript has 2 exons. The record is from RefSeq and is a predicted model, not a curated record.